UGUUUGUACAAUGGAAGCUUCUCUGGUGAUUUUAUUUCUCACAGUCCUUUCAUAUUCCUUCUGUGCCACUUGGUUGUCACAGUCCCCACAAGCUGUAACGGUGGUACCAGGAGACACAGUGACUAUAUCCUGCACUGUGGAAGGUGAUAAGAAUGAACUGAUGAAUAUGCAUUGGUACAGACAAACUGCUACUGGGGUGCAGUAUCUCCCAAAGGACUCUCAUAUCACAGCUAAUCAUUUUGUGUCUUCCCAGCACUCCUCCAUCAGCAAUCUCCACUUUUUCACCAUCACAAGCAUCAUGGACAUGGAUCAGGGUACAUAUUUUUGUGCUCUUUCACGUCCUGUGCGUGGCAGCCUUGUGGACUUUGUCCAAGGAGAGGGCUCAUCGGUCCGUGUGGAAGAACUUCGAUCAUCUGGUCUUUGA
This is a non-coding RNA of Protopterus annectens (West African lungfish), 424 nucleotides long. The record is from the annotation of a RefSeq genome assembly. Lineage: Eukaryota; Metazoa; Chordata; Ceratodontiformes; Protopteridae.